UGUAACCCUAGAGGCUUUGCAGAGGCGGCUGCUGUGUCACAUGUGCUACAGCAGAUGGCGGCAAAGAGAGAGGCUAUGUCUCCGCUCAGCAUUCUGACCUGUGAACAUCUGAAUGAUUAGACUAACACU
Acomys russatus (golden spiny mouse) is the source of this 129-nucleotide small nucleolar RNA. RefSeq annotates it as small nucleolar RNA SNORA17. The record is from RefSeq and is a predicted model, not a curated record. NCBI's taxonomy places the organism in Eukaryota, Metazoa, Chordata, Mammalia, Rodentia, Muridae. The transcript has a single exon.